UCCGUAGGUGAACCUGCGGAGGGAUCAUUACUGAGUUUACGCUCUACAACCCUUUGUGAACAUACCUAUAACUGUUGCUUCGGCGGGUAGGGUCUCCGCGACCCUCCCGGCCUCCCGCCUCCGGGCGGGUCGGCGCCCGCCGGAGGAUAACCAAACUCUGAUUUAACGACGUUUCUUCUGAGUGGUACAAGCAAAUAAUCAAAACUUUUAACAACGGAUCUCUUGGUUCUGGCAUCGAUGAAGAACGCAGCGAAAUGCGAUAAGUAAUGUGAAUUGCAGAAUUCAGUGAAUCAUCGAAUCUUUGAACGCACAUUGCGCCCGCCAGCAUUCUGGCGGGCAUGCCUGUUCGAGCGUCAUUUCAACCCUCAAGCUCUGCUUGGUGUUGGGGCCCUACAGCCGAUGUAGGCCCUCAAAGGUAGUGGCGGACCCUCCCGGAGCCUCCUUUGCGUAGUAACUUUACGUCUCGCACUGGGAUCCGGAGGGACUCUUGCCGUAAAACCCCCCAAUUUUCCAAAGGUUGACCUCGGAUCAGGUAGGAAUACCCGCUGAACUUAAGCAUAUCA
RNAcentral lists this ribosomal RNA (563 nucleotides) under Colletotrichum gloeosporioides. RNAcentral describes it as "eukaryotic LSU rRNA". The stretch from base 203 to 356 matches the Rfam family "5.8S ribosomal RNA". The record is from RNAcentral. Lineage: Eukaryota; Fungi; Ascomycota; Sordariomycetes; Glomerellales; Glomerellaceae.